This 1354-nucleotide ribosomal RNA is filed under the name uncultured bacterium. Its description in RNAcentral is "bacterial SSU rRNA". It matches the Rfam family "Bacterial small subunit ribosomal RNA", at positions 28 to 1381 of the family's 1533-position model. The record is from RNAcentral.
AUUGAACGCUGGCGGCAGGCUUAACACAUGCAAGUCGAACGAUGAUUUCCCAGCUUGCUGGGAAUGAUUAGUGGCGGACGGGUGAGUAACAUUUAGGAAUCUGCCUAGUAGUGGGGGAUAGCUCGGGGAAACUCGAAUUAAUACCGCAUACGACCUACGGGUGAAAGGGGGCGCAAGCUCUUGCUAUUAGAUGAGCCUAAAUCAGAUUAGCUAGUUGGUGGGGUAAAGGCCCACCAAGGCGACGAUCUGUAACUGGUCUGAGAGGAUGAUCAGUCACACCGGAACUGAGACACGGUCCGGACUCCUACGGGAGGCAGCAGUGGGGAAUAUUGGACAAUGGGGGCAACCCUGAUCCAGCCAUGCCGCGUGUGUGAAGAAGGCCUUUUGGUUGUAAAGCACUUUAAGCAGGGAGGAGAGGCUAAUGGUUAAUACCCAUUAGAUUAGACGUUACCUGCAGAAUAAGCACCGGCUAACUCUGUGCCAGCAGCCGCGGUAAUACAGAGGGUGCGAGCGUUAAUCGGAAUUACUGGGCGUAAAGCGAAUGUAGGUGGCUCAUUAAGUCACAUGUGAAAUCCCCGGGCUUAACCUGGGAACUGCAUGUGAUACUGGUGGUGCUAGAAUAUGUGAGAGGGAAGUAGAAUUCCAGGUGUAGCGGUGAAAUGCGUAGAGAUCUGGAGGAAUACCGAUGGCGAAGGCAGCUUCCUGGCAUAAUAUUGACACUGAGAUUCGAAAGCGUGGGUAGCAAACAGGAUUAGAUACCCUGGUAGUCCACGCCGUAAACGAUGAGUGCUAAGUGUUGGGGGCUUUCCGGCCCUCGGUGCUGGAGCUAACGUAUUAAGCACUCCGCCUGGGGAUUACGACCGCAAGGUUGAAACUCAAAAGAAUUGACGGGGACCCGCACAAGCGGUGGAGCAUGUGGUUUAAUUCGAAGCAACGCGAAGAACCUUACCAGCUCUUGACAUCUUCUGACAACUCUAGAGAUAGAGCGUUCCCUUUGGGGACAGAAUGACAGGUGGUGCAUGGUUGUCGUCAGCUCGUGUCGUGAGAUGUUGGGUUAAGUCCCGUAACGAGCGCAACCCUUGUUGUUAGUUGCCAGCAUUAAGUUGGGCACUUUAACGAGACUGCCGGUGAUAAACCGGAGGAAGGCGGGGAUGACGUCAAAUCAUCAUGCCCCUUAUGAGUUGGGCUACACACGUGCUACAAUGGAUGGUACAACGAGCAGCGACCCCGCAAGGGCUAGCUAAUCUUUCAAAGCCAUUCUCAGUUCGGAUUGCACUCUGCAACUCGAGUGCAUGAAGUCGGAAUCGCUAGUAAUCGCGAAUCAGAAUGUCGCGGUGAAUCCGUUCCCGGGUCU